RNAcentral lists this ribosomal RNA (478 nucleotides) under bacterium 1911-S3-01-2. RNAcentral describes it as "bacterial SSU rRNA". It matches the Rfam family "Bacterial small subunit ribosomal RNA", at positions 58 to 515 of the family's 1533-position model. The record is from RNAcentral.
CAAGUCGAGCGGAAACGAGUUAUCUGAACCUUCGGGGAACGAUAACGGCGUCGAGCGGCGGACGGGUGAGUAAUGCCUAGGAAAUUGCCCUGAUGUGGGGGAUAACCAUUGGAAACGAUGGCUAAUACCGCAUGAUGCCUACGGGCCAAAGAGGGGGACCUUCGGGCCUCUCGCGUCAGGAUAUGCCUAGGUGGGAUUAGCUAGUUGGUGAGGUAAGGGCUCACCAAGGCGACGAUCCCUAGCUGGUCUGAGAGGAUGAUCAGCCACACUGGAACUGAGACACGGUCCAGACUCCUACGGGAGGCAGCAGUGGGGAAUAUUGCACAAUGGGCGCAAGCCUGAUGCAGCCAUGCCGCGUGUAUGAAGAAGGCCUUCGGGUUGUAAAGUACUUUCAGUCGUGAGGAAGGUGGUAGUGUUAAUAGCACUAUCAUUUGACGUUAGCGACAGAAGAAGCACCGGCUAACUCCGUGCCAGCAGC